AAAUAAAUUUGAUUUGAUUUGAUUUGUUUAUAGGUUAAGGCUUAACAAGGUCGUUGAGUGCCAUGUUUUAAAGGAUUCUGUGGCAUGUUCUAAGUCUCUGGUGAAGAAUGUCCACCGUAAAAGAGAAGCCAUCAUAAAAGCUCUUUGUCUGCACCUGAAUGAUGAUGAUGGAUUUCUUAUCAAGGAGUACAGGGACAUUCAUGGUGAAGACAUAUUGAGAGACCAGCACAGCACUGAAAUGGACAUUUAUGUCAUCAGAAGAGGGUGGAGCUCUUGGAGAAUAUGAAAAGGUUGACGCUGACGGAAACAUUAUUGUAGGAAACAUCAAAUCAGUUGCACCAGACUGCAGUAAUGCUUGGAGUAAUCUAUGUACUGAAUAUGGCUCAUCACAAUGGGCGGAAAUGCUGCUAUGAAUUUGUACAUUCCUCAUGCCAAAGGAUGGUGCAAAGUUCUCCCCUAAUAUUCUUGGUUUGGAGAACAAAAUCGUGGGAUAGUCAAAGUAGGCUGUCCAUUCUGGAAAUAUAUGGAACUUUUCACACUAGCUUCUGCUUUGAUUGAAAAGCAAUGGGCUUUUGAACAACGCUUAAGUCACGUGAAACAAGAAUGGCUGUCAACAUCUCUUUUAAAAUUCAAUGACAUUUCAAUGAUUUUCUAUACAACAUGUCAAG
Molecule: long non-coding RNA, 668 nt
Organism: Colossoma macropomum (tambaqui)
Lineage: Eukaryota; Metazoa; Chordata; Actinopteri; Characiformes; Serrasalmidae
Exons: 3
Source: RefSeq, a predicted model, not a curated record